This 339-nucleotide unclassified non-coding RNA is filed under the name soil metagenome. Its description in RNAcentral is "partial contains 5.8S ribosomal RNA, internal transcribed spacer 2, and large subunit ribosomal RNA". The stretch from base 1 to 120 matches the Rfam family "5.8S ribosomal RNA", at positions 35 to 154 of the family's 154-position model. The record is from RNAcentral.
GAUGAAGAACGUAGCGAAAUGCGAUAAGUAGUGUGAAUUGCAGAAUUCAGUGAAUCAUCGAAUCUUUGAACGCACAUUGCGCCCCUCGGUAUUCCGUGGGGCAUGCCUGUUCGAGCGUCAUUUAACCCCUCAAGCCUAGCUUGGUAUUGGGUGCUUGUCCCGCCUCUCGCGCGGAGACUCACCUCAAAGUCAUUGGCAGCCCGCAUCUCGCCGGCCGUGAGCGCAGCACAGACGCGCUCUUGGCAACGACGGAUCGGCUCUCCAAAAGCUUAUUUCAACCACUGACCUCGGAUCAGGUAGGGAUACCCGCUGAACUUAAGCAUAUCAAUAAGCCGAGGA